RNAcentral lists this ribosomal RNA (433 nucleotides) under uncultured bacterium. RNAcentral describes it as "partial 16S ribosomal RNA". It matches the Rfam family "Bacterial small subunit ribosomal RNA", at positions 29 to 507 of the family's 1533-position model. The record is from RNAcentral.
AACGAACGCUGGCGGCAUGCCUAACACAUGCAAGUCGAACGAGACCUUCGGGUCUAGUGGCGCACGGGUGCGUAACGCGUGGGAACCUGCCCUUAGGUUCGGAAUAACUCCCCGAAAGGGGUGCUAAUACCGGAUAAUGUCUUCGGACCAAAGAUUUAUCGCCUUUGGAUGGUCCCGCGUUGGAUUAGCUAGUUGGUAGGGUAAAAGCCUACCAAGGCGACGAUCCAUAGCUGGUCUGAGAGGAUGAUCAGCCACACUGGGACUGAGACACGGCCCAGAAUCCUACGGGAGGCAGCAGUGGCGGAUAUUGGACAAUGGGGGGAAGCCUGAACCAGCAAUGACGCGUGAGUGAUGAAGGCCUUAGGGUUGUAAAGCGCUUUUACCCGGGAUGAUAAUGACAGUACCGGGAGAAUAAGCUCCGGCUAACUCCGUG